UACGUAGGUCCCGAGCGUUGUCCGGAUUUAUUGGGCGUAAAGCGAGCGCAGGCGGUUAGAUAAGUCUGAAGUUAAAGGCUGUGGCUUAACCAUAGUACGCUUUGGAAACUGUUUAACUUGAGUGCAAGAGGGGAGAGUGGAAUUCCAUGUGUAGCGGUGAAAUGCGUAGAUAUAUGGAGGAACCCCGGUGGCGAAAGCGGCUCUCUGGCUUGUAACUGACGCUGAGGCUCGAAAGCGUGGGGAGCAAACAGGAUUAGAUACCCUGGUAGUC
Molecule: ribosomal RNA, 271 nt
Filed under: uncultured Streptococcaceae bacterium
Lineage: Bacteria; Bacillati; Bacillota; Bacilli; Lactobacillales; Streptococcaceae
Description: partial 16S ribosomal RNA
Rfam family: Bacterial small subunit ribosomal RNA
Source: RNAcentral